Molecule: ribosomal RNA, 324 nt
Filed under: Magelona sp. GF-26460_20014
Lineage: Eukaryota; Metazoa; Annelida; Polychaeta; Spionida; Magelonidae
Description: partial large subunit ribosomal RNA
Rfam family: Bacterial large subunit ribosomal RNA
Source: RNAcentral
UGCUAAGGUAGCAUAAUCAUUUGCCCUAUAAUUGAGGGCUAGUAUGAAAGGCAAGACGAAGGCCAGACUGUCUCUAAAAUAAAUAAAAAAUUAUGCUUUAAGUGAAAACACUUAAAUAUAAAUAGAGGACAAGAAGACCCUAUAGAGCUUUAUUUAAGGAAAAAAUCGCAUAAAUUUUACAAAAAUCUUCUAUUUUUUCUAAGAAUUUGGUUGGGGCGACCAAGGAACACAAAGCUUCCUUAACUCUUAAGGAAUAUUUUCCUCCCUUUUGAUCCAAUACUAUUGAGCAACAGACAAAGCUACCUUAGGGAUAACAGCGUUAUC